This 544-nucleotide ribosomal RNA is filed under the name uncultured bacterium. RNAcentral's name for it is "partial 16S ribosomal RNA". It matches the Rfam family "Bacterial small subunit ribosomal RNA", at positions 355 to 911 of the family's 1533-position model. The record is from RNAcentral.
UGGGGAAUAUUGCACAAUGGGCGAAAGCCUGAUGCAGCAACGCCGCGUGAGUGAUGAAGGUCUUCGGAUUGUAAAGCUCUGUCUUUUGGGACGAUAAUGACGGUACCAAAGGAGGAAGCCACGGCUAACUACGUGCCAGCAGCCGCGGUAAUACGUAGGUGGCGAGCGUUGUCCGGAUUUACUGGGCGUAAAGGGUGCGUAGGCGGAUGUUUAAGUGAGAUGUGAAAUACCCGGGCUUAACUUGGGUGCUGCAUUUCAAACUGGAUAUCUAGAGUGCAGGAGAGGAGAAUGGAAUUCCUAGUGUAGCGGUGAAAUGCGUAGAGAUUAGGAAGAACACCAGUGGCGAAGGCGAUUCUCUGGACUGUAACUGACGCUGAGGCACGAAAGCGUGGGUAGCAAACAGGAUUAGAUACCCUGGUAGUCCACGCCGUAAAACGAUGAGUACUAGGUGUAGGAGGUAUCGACCCCUUCUGUGCCGCAGUAAAACACAUUAAGUACUCCGCCUGGGAAGUACGAUCGCAAGAUUAAAACUCUAAAGUGAAUU